CUACGGGUGGCACCAGUGGGGAAUAUUGGACAAUGGGGGAAACCCUGAUCCAGCAAUGCCGCGUGUGUGAAGAAGGCCUGCGGGUUGUAAAGCACUUUCGGUUGGGAGGACUGCUUCUAGCACUAAUAUUGUUGGAAGUUGACGUUACCUUCAGAAGAAGCACCGGCUAACUCCGUGCCAGCAGCCGCGGUAAUACGGAGGGUGCAAGCGUUAAUCGGAAUUACUGGGCGUAAAGCGCGCGUAGGCGGCUAGAUCAGUCGGGUGUGAAAGCCCCGGGCUUAACCUGGGAACUGCAUCCGUACUGUCUAGCUUGAGUACAGGAGAGGAGAGUGGAAUUCCACAUGUAGCGGUGAAAUGCGUAGAUAUGUGGAGGAACACCAAUGGCGAAGGCAGCUCUCUGGCCUGAUACUGACGCUGAGUUGCGAAAGCGUGGGGAGCAAACAGGAUUAGAUACCCGAGUAGUC
RNAcentral lists this ribosomal RNA (464 nucleotides) under uncultured bacterium. Its description in RNAcentral is "partial 16S ribosomal RNA". It matches the Rfam family "Bacterial small subunit ribosomal RNA", at positions 339 to 795 of the family's 1533-position model. The record is from RNAcentral.